Molecule: ribosomal RNA, 315 nt
Filed under: uncultured eukaryote
Lineage: Eukaryota
Description: partial 18S ribosomal RNA
Rfam family: Eukaryotic small subunit ribosomal RNA
Source: RNAcentral
CCCUUAGACGUCCUGGGCCGCACGCGCGCUACACUGACCAGUGCAACAAGCAUCCGUCCUUGGCCGACAGGCCCGGGCAAUCUUUGAACGCUGGUCGUGAUGGGGAUAGACUUUUGCAAUUUUUGGUCUUCAACGAGGAAUUCCUAGUAAACGCAAGUCAUCAACUUGCAUUGAUUACGUCCCUGCCCUUUGUACACACCGCCCGUCGCACCUACCGAUUGAAUGGUCCGGUGAAGCCUCCGGAUUGGCGCGCACCCCGGUGCCGCCGAGAAGUUGGCUAAACCUUACCAUUUAGAGGAAGGUGAAGUCGUANCA